RNAcentral lists this ribosomal RNA (271 nucleotides) under uncultured bacterium. RNAcentral's name for it is "partial 16S ribosomal RNA". It matches the Rfam family "Bacterial small subunit ribosomal RNA", at positions 335 to 604 of the family's 1533-position model. The record is from RNAcentral.
AUUCCUACGGGAGGCAGCAGUGAGGAAUAUUGGUCAAUGGACGAGAGUCUGAACCAGCCAAGUAGCGUGAAGGAUGACUGCCCUAUGGGUUGUAAACUUCUUUUAUAUGGGAAUAAAAUGUUCCACGUGUGGGAUUUUGUAUGUACCAUAUGAAUAAGGAUCGGCUAACUCCGUGCCAGCAGCCGCGGUAAUACGGAGGAUCCGAGCGUUAUCCGGAUUUAUUGGGUUUAAGGGAGGGUAGGGUGAAUGGUAAGUUAGUUGGUGAAGGUUG